GAUGAACGCUGGCGGCGUGCCUAAUACAUGCAAGUCGAGCGAACGGACAAGAAGCUUGCUUCUCUGAUGUUAGCGGCGGACGGGUGAGUAACACGUGGAUAACCUACCUAUAAGACUGGGAUAACUUCGGGAAACCGGAGCUAAUACCGGAUGAUAUUUUGAACCGCAUGGUUCAAAAGUGAAAGACGGUCUUGCUGUCACUUAUAGAUGGAUCCGCGCUGCAUUAGCUAGUUGGUAAGGUAACGGCUUACCAAGGCAACGAUGCAUAGCCGACCUGAGAGGGUGAUCGGCCACACUGGAACUGAGACACGGUCCAGACUCCUACGGGAGGCAGCAGUAGGGAAUCUUCCGCAAUGGGCGAAAGCCUGACGGAGCAACGCCGCGUGAGUGAUGAAGGUCUUCGGAUCGUAAAACUCUGUUAUUGGGGAAGAACAUAUGUGUAAGUAACUGUGCACAUCUUGACGGUACCUAAUCAGAAAGCCACGGCUAACUACGUG
This 497-nucleotide ribosomal RNA is filed under the name uncultured bacterium. RNAcentral describes it as "partial 16S ribosomal RNA". It matches the Rfam family "Bacterial small subunit ribosomal RNA", at positions 28 to 507 of the family's 1533-position model. The record is from RNAcentral.